AAAGAAGCGAAUUUGAUUAAAUUGUAUGACUGAUUUAGUCGAACGCAGAUAAUAUGGAGUAAUUCAUUUAACGUUGGAAGUCCAUUAGACUCCAAAUUAUUUAAUUGAAACAAAAUUUGUUGCUCCGAUCCUUGCAAAGCCCACAAUGAUUUUCAAUUAAAGAAGGCCUUCCCAAAUGAUUACAAAAGUUGAGGGAUGAUGUGAGUUUUUUUGUCUUUUUUUUUUGUUUUACUUCCUCAUAUUUGCUGUACAUGUCAUUAAUUAACUCUAAUUUGAUGAGGAAAAACUACCCAAUCUGUUGUUUGUUUUCCUGGUGGAGGUGAUUUUGUCCUUCAAUUACUCCACAAUCUCAAAACACAAAUCAAAAUAGUAGAAUCAAAUUUAUUUAUCUCAGCUUGUAGCUUCAGAUAUGCUGUGAAGUUUGGGAUGCCAUGUUCUUGGUUUUGCACCAGUUGAACUCCUAUGCUUUUCUUGUUUCACCUGUUUGGAGUUAUCAAAAUCAGAUCUUCUAAUAACUCCAUUAUUAGAGUGUGAAUUCGUUGAUUUCUCCCUACUCCUGUCACCGGAUUCUAAUUGCUGCUGCUUCAUCUUCGAAUAUUUCUUAGCCCAUAAUCCUUUCAUCACCUCUUGAGUAGUAAUUAAUCUGUAAACAUGACCCAGAACAAGCGUAUCCGUCGGUUUGAGAAGCUUAAUACGCGUUAUACGAACUGGCAUAGUAUUAGUUCCACUAGUAUUACUCGUCGCGCUGUCCGUUUUUUUGGCGGUGGAAGCGGUGGCGGAAGAAGGAUUAGUGGGCGGACACAAGGUGGUGGUGGUAAGAAGAAGAGCAACAUAAUGACCUGGAUUCAUCUUCAUGAUUUCAUUAGCAGUAACAGGCCAAUAGAGUUUAUCAACUCUACCGCUUGGGUGUUGUAUAAGCAAAGUGGCAUUAUCAAUGGCUUGGCAGUUGCCCAUUCUCUCUCAAUUUACUGAAAGCCCUUUU
This 982-nucleotide unclassified non-coding RNA is filed under the name Hevea brasiliensis (rubber tree). Lineage: Eukaryota; Viridiplantae; Streptophyta; Magnoliopsida; Malpighiales; Euphorbiaceae. The record is from RNAcentral.